Pogona vitticeps (central bearded dragon) is the source of this 836-nucleotide non-coding RNA. The record is from RefSeq and is a predicted model, not a curated record. Lineage: Eukaryota; Metazoa; Chordata; Lepidosauria; Squamata; Agamidae.
UGCGUGGCAGCCCUUGAAGCACUGGUUGCUAUCUUCUCUUUUGUCCGGCGUGUCAUUUCACCCCUAAACCUCCUCCAGAACUAUUGCCACAAAAUCUGUGUGACAGUCAAUCAAAUUUAUCCUGUGAACAAUGUCUCUCGGGGAUUUUAUUUUCUGUACACAUUUAUUUUCUUGUUGCUGUUUCUAAACUGAAAAUAAUUGCAUACACUGGCAUUGUUCAUCAGGAUGCUUUUUGUGUUCUUGUGUGUUUGAAGGCUGGCCUCGCACUUCUUUUGAUGACUUCUUGCCUGAAUACUUUUACAAGUUUUAGGUCAUAACCUAUCAAAGACGGAAAAUGUACAAUAAAACCUAAUGUCCCAGCUGAUUUUAGCUACGGUAUACAAACACAACAUCUGAGAGUUAGGAGCACUUGCUGAAGCUGUAGAGUGGGUGGCAGAAUCCCCCAGAUAUGGAGGGGACAACGUCAGUGAGCAGAGGCAUUCCAUCAUUAAAGGCAGACCUUGGAACCAAUUCAAAGUCUCAUUCCAUCAGGCAUCAGACUGCAAAAUCCAGAGUAGAUUGUGUACACUGAAUUGUGCUUCCUGCUUCUUCAGCAAACUAAUGAUGAACAUAAGGAAAUGCCUUACCUAAUUAAUCAACUUUAACCUAUCCAUCCCGUGCUAAGCACAAGGAAACAUCAGGAUGAUAUUAUUCCUCUUAUCUAGUUCUGUCUUAUUACCUUACUCCAUCAUGGCAAUGCCAAGGCAGAUUUUCAAAUGUGCAUGAAAGAACUGUGAAAAAUGAAAGUCUCCUCAGCUGUGUCAUAUGUUUUCAUCAUAUAAUAAAAGACAUUUUGG